Molecule: ribosomal RNA, 537 nt
Filed under: Fusarium acuminatum
Lineage: Eukaryota; Fungi; Ascomycota; Sordariomycetes; Hypocreales; Nectriaceae
Description: eukaryotic LSU rRNA
Rfam family: 5.8S ribosomal RNA (bases 200-352)
Source: RNAcentral
AAGUAAAAGUCGUAACAAGGUCUCCGUUGGUGAACCAGCGGAGGGAUCAUUACCGAGUUUACAACUCCCAAACCCCUGUGAACAUACCAAUUGUUGCCUCGGCGGAUCAGCCCGCUCCCGGUAAAACGGACGGCCCGCCAGAGGACCCCUAAACUCUGUUUCUAUAUGUAACUUCUGAGUAAAACCAUAAAUAAAUCAAAACUUUCAACAACGGAUCUCUUGGUUCUGGCAUCGAUGAAGAACGCAGCAAAAUGGAUAAGUAAUGUGAAUUGCAGAAUUCAGUGAAUCAUCGAAUCUUUGAACGCACAUUGCGCCCGCCAGUAUUCUGGCGGGCAUGCCUGUUCGAGCGUCAUUUCAACCCUCAAGCCCAGCUUGGUGUUGGACUCGCGAGUUAAAUCGCGUUCCCCAAAUUGAUUGGCGGUCACGUCGAGCUUCCAUAGCGUAGUAGUAAAACCCUCGUUACUGGUAAUCGUCGCGGCCACGCCGUUAAACCCCAACUUCUGAAUGUGACCUCGGAUCAGGUAGGAAUACCCGCUG